RNAcentral lists this ribosomal RNA (253 nucleotides) under uncultured bacterium. RNAcentral's name for it is "partial 16S ribosomal RNA". It matches the Rfam family "Bacterial small subunit ribosomal RNA", at positions 524 to 776 of the family's 1533-position model. The record is from RNAcentral.
UACGAAGGGGGCUAGCGUUGUUCGGAUUUACUGGGCGUAAAGCGCACGUAGGCGGAUCGGUCAGUCAGAGGUGAAAUCCCAGGGCUCAACCCUGGAACUGCCUUUGAUACUGCCGAUCUUGAGUCUGGAAGAGGUGAGUGGAAUUCCGAGUGUAGAGGUGAAAUUCGUAGAUAUUCGGAGGAACACCAGUGGCGAAGGCGGCUCACUGGUCCAGAACUGACGCUGAGGUGCGAAAGCGUGGGGAGCAAACAGG